This 776-nucleotide ribosomal RNA is filed under the name uncultured Neocallimastigales. RNAcentral's name for it is "partial large subunit ribosomal RNA". It matches the Rfam family "Eukaryotic large subunit ribosomal RNA", at positions 23 to 634 of the family's 3401-position model. The record is from RNAcentral. Lineage: Eukaryota; Fungi; Neocallimastigomycota; Neocallimastigomycetes; Neocallimastigales.
AGAGAGAGACAUGCGCGCAUAUCAAUAAGCGGAGGAAAAGAAACUAACAAGGAUUCCCUCAGUAACGGCGAGUGAAGCGGGAAGAGCUCAAAUUUGAAAUCUUCAAGGUUCUACCUUGACGAAUUGUAGUUUAAAGAAGUGUUUUCUGUUGAAGUUUUGGUAAAAGUUCUUUGGAAUAGGACAUCAUAGAGGGUGAGAAUCCCGUAUUUGACCAUUAUUUCCAGCUUUGUGAUACACUUUCAAAGAGUCGGAUUGUUUGGGAAUGCAGUCCAAAAUGGGUGGUAAAUUUCAUCUAAAGCUAAAUAUUGGCGAGAGACCGAUAGCGAACAAGUACCGUGAGGGAAAGAUGAAAAGAACUUUGAAAAGAGAGUUAAACAGUACGUGAAAUUGUCAAAAGGGAAGCGUUUGACACCAGUGUUGUUUUCUCGAAAAUCAAUUAAAAAUGGCUCGAUUUUGUAUUGUUGAGACCUUAAAAGCUCACUGUACAUUUUUCGUGUCUUUUUUAAUGCACUUUUCGUUUAACAAGUCAACAUCAGUUUCUUUUGUUGUAAAAGGGUCAUUGGAAGGUGGCUUUCUUUUCGGAGAAAGUGUUUAUAGCCUUUGGCCUCUGCAAUCGGAAGAGACUGAGGUCUGCAGCGUAGACUCUUCGGGGUUAGAUACAUUUGUGCUAAGUUAUAGCUUUUUAUAGACAACUUGUUGACUAUGAUUAGUCAUUGUAGCUUACUCGCUUAUGCUAUUUUACCUACGCUUAGGAUGUUGAGUCGUAGAGCACGCAG